RNAcentral lists this ribosomal RNA (223 nucleotides) under Isochrysis galbana. RNAcentral's name for it is "partial Bacterial small subunit ribosomal RNA". It matches the Rfam family "Bacterial small subunit ribosomal RNA", at positions 401 to 621 of the family's 1533-position model. The record is from RNAcentral. Lineage: Eukaryota; Haptophyta; Isochrysidales; Isochrysidaceae.
GUGCAGGAUGACGGCCCUAUGGGUUGUAAACUGCUUUUAUACGGGAAGAAAUAUACCUACGUGUAGGUAUUUGACGGUACCGUAAGAAUAAGCACCGGCUAACUCCGUGCCAGCAGCCGCGGUAACACGGAGGGCGCAAACGUUGCUCGGAAUCACUGGGCAUAAAGCGCACGUAGGCGGCCGUCUAAGUCGGGUGUGAAAGCCCUCGGCUCAACCGAGGAAU